UACGUAGGGUGCGAGCGUUGUCCGGAAUUAUUGGGCGUAAAGGGCUCGUAGGCGGUUUGUCGCGUCGGGAGUGAAAACCUUGGGCUUAACUCAGGGCUUGCUUUCGAUACGGGCAGACUAGAGGUAUGCAGGGGAGAACGGAAUUCCUGGUGUAGCGGUGAAAUGCGCAGAUAUCAGGAGGAACACCGAUGGCGAAGGCAGCUCGCUGGGACGGUACUGACGCUGAGGCGCGAAAGCGUGGGGAGCAAACAGG
This 253-nucleotide ribosomal RNA is filed under the name uncultured bacterium. RNAcentral's name for it is "partial 16S ribosomal RNA". It matches the Rfam family "Bacterial small subunit ribosomal RNA", at positions 524 to 776 of the family's 1533-position model. The record is from RNAcentral.